Molecule: ribosomal RNA, 369 nt
Filed under: uncultured phototrophic eukaryote
Lineage: Eukaryota
Description: SSU rRNA
Rfam family: Bacterial small subunit ribosomal RNA
Source: RNAcentral
UACGGGGGAUGCAAGCGUUAUCCGGAAUCAUUGGGCGUAAAGCGCCUGUAGGUUGUUUAAUAAGUCUGUUGUUAAAGACUGGGGCUCAACCCCAGAAAAGCAAUGGAAACUACUAGACUAGAGUAUGGCAGGGGUAGAGGGAAUUUCUAGUGUAGCGGUGAAAUGCGUAGAUAUUAGAAAGAACACCGGUGGCGAAAGCGCUCUACUGGACCAUUACUGACACUCAGAGGCGAAAGCUAGGGUAGCAAAAGGGAUUAGAUACCCCUGUAGUCCUAGCCGUAAACGAUGGAUACUAGAUGUUGUGCUUAAAGUACAGUAUCGUAGCUAACGCGUUAAGUAUCCCGCCUGGGGAGUACGCUCGCAAGGGUG